RNAcentral lists this transfer RNA (68 nucleotides) under Marmota monax (woodchuck). Its description in RNAcentral is "tRNA.Ala". The record is from RNAcentral. Lineage: Eukaryota; Metazoa; Chordata; Mammalia; Rodentia; Sciuridae.
GGAUUGUGGCUCAGCGGUAGAGCGUUUGCCUAGCAUGUGCAAGGCCCUAGGUUUGAUCCUCAGCACCA